CGGGCUCCCCGUGGGGUCAGGCAAGGCCUGGCUCGGACCAGCCUCACGGUUCAGUUUCUCCCCCACCCCUGCUCCCCUCACUUCUCGUACACAGAGCUCCAGAUCCAGAGCCACUGCUGUGUCCUGUGCACGUGCGUCGCCUCGGCCUAGAACAUCAUUUGCCUGUCCCCUUUGUCUGUGAGGAUACGCAGGGAAGGAAGAAGCCCCUCAGCCCAGCUCCCCAGAGAACAGGCUGCACGUGCCCCCACGUUGCUGGCUCCCGGAUCAUCAUUCACACCCCGACACUGGGGUCUCACUUUGCUUCUCCUCCGCCAGCAGCUUCUGCCCUCUGCCCUCUCUGAGAGGCACAUUCGGGUACCCCAGGAGCGAGCUGCUGAUGGCUCUGCUCAGCUGUCACCACCCCUUCUCAGGCAGAACCUUCCGGCAGGCCUUGCAGGUGCCUCUCCAGCCCACGGGUCGCUGACUUAGAGUCCAGGACCCACCGCCGGUCCAGCAGCUGUGCCCGGAAUGGAGAGUUUGUGGCACGGAGCCCUGGGACAGAAGCACCGGAGGUGAUCAGGGUCUGAGCCGUCCAUGAGAAGGACUGCAUUUCCCAGCCCCCCUUGUGGCCAUGCAGCCCUGAGCCCUGGCCAAUGAGAGCUCCAAGGUUCGGUUCUGGCCCAGGCUCGCCCCACGUCCAUGUCCACACCAUCUCUGACCCUUGCCACCUGUCAACCAAGGGAAAAUCACUACAAUUUAAACAGCAGGUAUUUAUUUGGGCAAUUAGAAUUGCAAUUCGGGAGACAUAGAUUCAGGUAGAAUCCCCAAACACGCUUCAGCUACAGGACAGGGGCUGAGGGUUUUUAUGGGAAAAGGGAGAAUGAGAUGAGUUGUACUAAAGAGUUCAUUGGUUUUCAAUGAGGUAGGACUAGGUUUGUACUUCAUAGGUUGCCUUAAGAUUCGGUCAUCAGGCAAAAGGCUAGACUUGCACUCCGCUGAUUGCUUAGUGAUUCGGUCAUCAGCAAAGUCCAGUUUGAUCAGUCCUUACAAACAGGAUAUUCUCGUCCUUAUCGCCUUCUUGGAAUGUUGGCAGUUUGGAAAAUAAAGAAAAUAAGAUGUGCAAGACAAUUCCUCUGAAAAGGCUGGCUUGGCUGUAUUUUAAUAUGGCUCCACUCAUGUCAUCUUUCACAUUCCCCUCUUGAUCCAGAUCUUUCUCUGAAAGCAUCACUGGUCAAACAUUGGAAAGCAUUGCUGAUCAGCCAUCAAAGGAUCAUUGGUCCCUCAUCACCAGGAAGGCUAACGCCUAGUAUGUCAUGUCCCACGUAGGAGGAAACAUGGUUUCCUUAGGAGCCACAGGCCACAUUUGAGCAACAAGAGGGCCAGGGCAGAGGAUGCCUCUGCUGUCAAGUUCUUUUAAGGGUAAACAUCUCCUGCAGCUCCUUGAAGUUUCCCACGGAGAUUCACAAGCCUUAGUAAUCAUUUCAAAGCACUGAGUGACCAUUAUCGCAGUAGCAUUUUUUACAACAUCCAGCUAUGCAAAGGAGAUAAAAUUUACAACAAUGAGAAUUCCUGUAAUAACAAACAGAAUGCUAAGUCCCAUUUGGAGAUAGACGUGAACCAGGAGGAAAUGCCUGGGGGCAGCAAGCUAAAGAGACUGAAGAACCCAGGGCGAAGAACCCAGGGCAUCAGUAGGCACUACAUUGAACCAUUCGGCUUGUGCCCGAAUUCUGCCUUCCCGAGGUGUUUACCCAACUAAAACAAGAGGUACUUACAGCAGUUACAAAUGUUAGCUCUGAAAUGCCUCGGGGUUAAGUUCUAGACACUCAGCACAAGGAAUUAAGGGAGGAGUGGCAGAGAGCUUGGCAAUUAAAUGUACUAAAGGAUCUGUAGAUUCAGGCACAGGUUGCAGCUUCUGAUGACAAACCCAACAGUCAGAAAGAUUUCCCGGGGCCGGCCUGGUGGCGCCGCAGUUAAGUGCACACGUUCCACUUCUCGGCGGCCAGGGGUUUGCCGGUUCGGAUCCCGGGUGCAGACAUGGCACUGCUUGGCACGCCCUGCUGUGGCAGGCGUCCCACAUAUAAAGUAGAGGAAGAUGGGCAGGGAUGUUAGCUGAGGACCAGUCUUCUUCAGCAAAAAGAGGAGGAUUGGCAGUAGUUAGUUCAGGGCUAAUCUUCCUCAAAAAAAAGAAAGAAAGAAAGAUUUCCCCCUUUUGUAAUAGACUGGGAGAUGUGGAGGGAAUAAGGCAAGAAGCGACAGUGAGUAAAAGGCACACAGGCCUGGUCUGGCCAUCCUGGGAAGCCGUCUGCCUCGGACUGGCUGCUUCUCUUCCUGGUCCAGUGGAUGCGGAGGCCUCCCGCGCUUGUGCAGGACUGAUGUCAGGCGGAGCCUUCUCUAGCUGCGAGAUGUGUCUCUAAGGUUCAGUGCCUUCUAGCUGUGCAGCAGGGUCAGUGCUCAGGAGCUCAUGGUGGGGUCCUUUCCAAUGGGACUCAAGGGCUGUCUUCUGAUGUCACUUCCAGAAUAUCAGUCACCAGGCUCUAGACUGUGACCAACAAGACCCUACAUUGGGAACCAGGAAAACGUCUUUAACCAAACUGUUGAUGAUGAGCUCAAGCAUAAGACAUUAGAGACUCACAGUAGCUGGUGAUACGAGCAUGAGACAACAAGCGAUCAGCAGAAGGUUGUGCACCAACAGGCACUGACCUGCCAGUGACCAUCCCACGUGGGGUCACUUCGUGUUUUCCAAAGGGGGCACUGCAAACAGCAGCGAGACCAAAGGCAGCACCUUAGGCCAGCGGCGUGCAGUCCACAGGUGUAUAACAAAACCUCCAAGACAAUUAACAGGACCAGAAUCCAACAUCUACAAAGAUGCAACAGAAUUUUUCUCUCCCCAAUUACCCUCGUUUUUUUUUUUAACCAAAGAUAAUCACAG
This is a long non-coding RNA of Equus caballus (horse), 2908 nucleotides long. The record is from Ensembl. Lineage: Eukaryota; Metazoa; Chordata; Mammalia; Perissodactyla; Equidae.